AUUGAACGCUGGCGGCAGGCCUAACACAUGCAAGUCGAGCGGAUGAAGGGAGCUUGCUCCUGGAUUCAGCGGCGGACGGGUGAGUAAUGCCUAGGAAUCUGCCUGGUAGUGGGGGAUAACGUCCGGACACGGGCGCUAAUACCGCAUACGUCCUGAGGGAGAAAGUGGGGGAUCUUCGGACCUCACGCUAUCAGAUGAGCCUAGGUCGGAUUAGCUAGUUGGUGGGGUAAAGGCCUACCAAGGCGACGAUCCGUAACUGGUCUGAGAGGGUGAUCAGUCACACUGGAACUGAGACACGGUCCAGACUCCUACGGGAGGCAGCAGUGGGGAAUAUUGGACAAUGGGCGAAAGCCUGAUCCAGCCAUGCCGCGUGUGUGAAGAAGGUCUUCGGAUUGUAAAGCACUUUAAGUUGGGAGGAAGGGCAGUAAGUUAAUACCUUGCUGUUUUGACGUUACCAACAGAAUAAGCACCGGCUAACUUCGUG
This 484-nucleotide ribosomal RNA is filed under the name uncultured bacterium. Its description in RNAcentral is "partial 16S ribosomal RNA". It matches the Rfam family "Bacterial small subunit ribosomal RNA", at positions 30 to 507 of the family's 1533-position model. The record is from RNAcentral.